GAGUUUGAUUGGCUCAGAUUGAACGCUGGCAGGAUCUUUACACAUGCAAGUCAGACGGCAGCACGGACUUCAGUCUGGUGGCGAGUGGCAGUGGUGAGUAAUAUCGGAACGUGCCUAGUAGCGGGGGAUAACUACGCGAAAGCGUAGCUAAUACCGCAUACCAUCGGGGAAAGCAGGGGACCUUCCGGGCCUCGCACUAUUAGGCAGCCGAUAUCAGUUGGCUAGUUGGUGGGGUAACGGCUCACAAGGCGACGAUCCGUAGCUGGUUUGAGAGGACGACCAGCCACACCGCAGGACGGGGCUAGCCCCCAGACUCCCUGCGGAGGCAGCGGUGGGGAAUUUUGGACAAUGGGGGAAACCCUGAUCCCAGCCAUCCCGCGUGUGCGAUGAAGGCCUUCGGGUUGUAAACACUUUUGGCAGGAAAACAACACGGGAUGCGCUACCCGUGCAACUGACGGUAACCUGCAGAAUAGCGCAAUACUUACGUGCAACAGCCGCGGUAAUACGUGCAGUGCAAACGUUAAUCGGAAUUACUGGGCGUAAAGCGUGCACAGGCGGUUCGGAAGAAGAUGUGAAAUCAGAAGCAACUUUGGAACUGCAUUUUUAACUACCGAGCUAGAAAUUGUCAGAGUGCGAUUCCGCGAUGUAGCAGUGAAAUGCGUAGAUAUGCGGAGGAACACCGUGGCGAAGGCAGCCUCCUGGGAUAACACUGACGCUCAUUUGGCGUGGGGAGCAAACAGGAUUAGAUACCCUGGUAGUCCGCCUAACUGAUAUCAACUAGCUGUUGGGGCCUUCAGCCUUGGUAGCGCAAUAACGCGUGGGGAAGUUGACCGCCUGGGAAGUACGGUCGCAAGAUUAAAACUCAAAGGAAUUGACAGGGACCCGCACAAGCGGUGGAUGAUGUGGAUUAAUUCGAUGCAACGCGAAAAACCUUACUACCCUUGACAUGUCAGAAUCCAAAGAGAGAUUUGGGAGUGCUCGCAAGAGAGCCGGAACACAGGUGCUGCAUGGCUGUCGUCAGCUCGUAUCGUGAGAUGUUGGGUUAAGUCCCGCAACGAGCGCAACCCUUGUCAUUGAAUUUCUUCCCGAAAGGGCACUCCUAAUGAGACUGCCGGUGACAAGCCGGAGAGAGGUGAGGAUGACGUAAAGUCUCAUGGCCCCAUAUGGUACGGGCUUGCGUCAUACAAUGCGUUGGGACGAAGGUGUAGCCGCGAGGGAGCCAAUCCCAGAAACCCGAUCGUAGUCCGGAUCGCAGUCUACUCGACUGCGUGAUCAGAAUCGCUAGUAAUCGCGGAUCAGCAUGCUCGCGGUGGAUACGUUCGGGUCAUGCUGCUGUCUUACCGCGGGUGGUUUUCAGAGAAAACUGCCUGUUCCGUGGUGACCGGCGGAUAGCAUUCGCGUUGAAGAUGU
Molecule: ribosomal RNA, 1410 nt
Filed under: uncultured Bordetella sp.
Lineage: Bacteria; Pseudomonadati; Pseudomonadota; Betaproteobacteria; Burkholderiales; Alcaligenaceae
Description: partial 16S-23S ribosomal RNA intergenic spacer
Rfam family: Bacterial small subunit ribosomal RNA
Source: RNAcentral